UACAGUGUUGAGCCUAUAUCUAUAUAAUGCUUAUCUAGUAAAAAUGUACGCUGCCAAUAAAGAUUGAACUCGAGUCUGGUUUUCCUUUUGUUUUACUCCUGUCUUAGCUAGAUAAACUUGCUCUUAUAUGAUUGCUGAGCAAAGCGGUGCGUAUUCCGGUUACAAUCGUAUUCACUGUCAAAAUGCCCUCAUUACCCUAGCAUAGUUACAAUAACUCGCUUCAUUAGAUUUAUAACCGUAUUGCAAAGCAAGAAAUGCUGUGAACGUGAAACGUGAACCGCCUCCUGAAUGUUUUUUUCCCGUGCACUAUUAUGUGCAGUGUAAGUGGUUUAGACUUUACUAACGCGCCUCUUGCACCUUUUUCUGUUCCGAUUUCGGCAUUUGAUGUCAAUCGUUUGUGACGAGAGGUAAUAAUGAGGUAAGUAGUGCGUUUUUAUUUCUGAUUGAUUUUCGGUUCCAAAAACUUUUUCCUUUUUGUUCUUUCAGUUCAUUCGUUGUAUAUUCACCCAAUGCCCGUGGCCUCCACAGGGCCCGCACUUGGUGUCUGGACACCCGGUUUUCGCCAUUUUUAGGUUAAGGGUCGGAAAUAUAAAUUUGAACCGGAUUCACUAUUGCGUAUUGUAUUGUUUCUAGGCUCUCCGAAAACCACCCUCCGAGACGUUUCUUUAUUUUUUUUCAGCUAUGGUGUCAUGUAUGGGUAUUUUCUUCUUGCUCUGGUGCCUUCCCCCUCUCGACGGAUACUGUAAUAAUUUAU
Topomyia yanbarensis is the source of this 754-nucleotide long non-coding RNA. RefSeq lists it as uncharacterized. The transcript is spliced from 3 exons. NCBI's taxonomy places the organism in Eukaryota, Metazoa, Arthropoda, Insecta, Diptera, Culicidae. The record is from RefSeq and is a predicted model, not a curated record.